GAACGAAAAAAUAGGAGUAAUCGCCUAUUUUAGGGGCAACCUUUUGAGACGGAAAGCAAAAAUAACAGUUUUCAAAAUUUUCCAGUGUAUUUAAUUUUAUUAUAUUUAAUAACCCCCAAAAAAAUGGCUCGGUAGAAAGAGAGUUAAUUCCAAUCUCACCAUGAAAUGUCUAUUUUGAGAAAUUAUUAAUAGGAUACAGCCAGGCUCUGUUUUUCACUUACUUUUGCGAACAGCUGACCUGGCACAGAACUAGGCCCAUUUGGCUGCGGUUUUACCGCGUAUCGGUGAAGCAAAAUAUUAUGGAGCACACUCGACAUUUGACCUUGCACCAUCGAACCGUUAAAAGCAUUAAACGAAUGACAAUUGCUUAUGCUAGAUGGUGAUAGCUGCGAUUCAACUGGGCUGCGCAGUCGGACCAAGAUGGUAGCUUAUCGUAAUCCAGUUGCUCUUCGAACCGAGACUUCGUUGUGGGAAUUAUCAUCGCGCUAGUUAUGUCUUUCUCACUUCCUUACGACUGCAGAGAGGAGUAGAUGGCUGACACCGUGUCAAUGAUGUACCUAAGGCAUGAAGCAAAAGGAGUUGUUGUGCUGGGAAUGUCAAACAACUGCGAGACAGUAUC
This 619-nucleotide small RNA is filed under the name Drosophila pseudoobscura pseudoobscura. RNAcentral's name for it is "GA31164". The record is from RNAcentral. Lineage: Eukaryota; Metazoa; Arthropoda; Insecta; Diptera; Drosophilidae.